GUCGUACUACAUUACAUACGGCGCAGGCAAGACUGUCAUUGUAUCGGUGUUGUAGGACAAAUACGUAAAUGUACGACUAUUUACUGUAAUUGACUCGGUAUUAGUUAACAAGAAACCCAGCCUGCUAGAAUCUGUAAUGUCGGAGGCUUUAAGACCCAGGGGGUACUAUUUACAAACGGAGCCCUUCUGCAGUCAGUCAUUGCUGCGUCUAAUGUUUACAGCCAUGAGUUCCUGCCACCCUCACUUUCUUCUGUCUUUAAUUUCUCUUUUUUCUUUGGCGGCAGGCCAAUUUGGCGAAACUAAGCUGCAGGAUCGCCCGUUUGCGGUAUUGCAGCAUCAGAACCUGGCUCUGCUGCUGAGUGUGCUCAGCGUCCUGCUGGUGAUCAUGGUGCUGAUGGCAGUCUGCGUGUACAGACCCCUGUACCGCCGAUAGCCGCUGUCCAGAGCUGGGACUCGUUGAAGAAUGGCAGUGCCAGGCUGUGGGCAUCUCUGCACAUGAGCCAGCCUUACAAUGACAGUGCACCGCAAGUUAGUCUUGACCUGCAAGCUUCAGCCUUUCAAAGCAGUCUGCCGGGUAUGUGUUACCUGCAGAUGUGCGUGCUUACCCUUACUGUAAUUCAUUCUAUGGCCUUACUCCACAGCCUGUCAUUAUGUUUCUUUGUGAAGCCCCUUUACCUUGUGUUUCUACCCCCAAAAAAAUCCUGUUCAGUAUUGGAGGGCCUUGGAAAGUAUUAUUUUUAUGCUUGGAAAAUGCAUAUCCCAUUGCACUGAAUAUUCAUUUUUCUGCAUUUGCGUAAAUUGGAUUUGCACGCUUUUGUGAAUCAAUUCGGAGCUUUCUUGGUGACCUUCUUCGUUGCAUUCUCCUUUCUCAAGUAUGAUUCCAUUCGAAGAAGGAAUCCAUGGGUUUAUCCAAAACAGUGGUUCCAAACGCUAGUCCUGAUGUUUUUUUAUAUAUAUAACUGAGAUCUAAAUCCUCAGUGCUAAUUGACGACUUAAUUGAUGUGUUUUCUUGUUUAGACUUUCAGCUUGUUUCUUCUGUAAGUCAUAAGUGUCAAAAAAGCCCUACUUCAGGAAUAGUCCUACAACUUCAGAACACAGAACGCAGCCUUUCCUCAACUUGUAGUUAUAGCUAGAACUAGAGCAACCAGCUCAUACCAGUUGAUUAAUUUACAAUGAACAAACACCUGUGGCGAUGACACUAUCAAACAUGCCCACAUUGGAGAUGUCACUGUCUCAUUUCAUGCCCACAGUGGGAAUAACACAAUGAGACAUGCCUAUAUUGGAGAUGUCACUGUAAUAGAUACACCCACAGUGGGAGUAACAGACAUGCCCACAUUGGAGAUGUCACUGUCUCAGACAUGCCUACAGUGGAUGUGGCACAAUCAGACACGCCCACAUUGGAGAUGUCACUCUAACAGAAGUGACUGAACAGAAACGCCCAGUGUUUUUUUCCUUCUGCAGACCAUUUGGCGUAGUCAGGCAGCACACCUGCAUGAGAGCCCUUCUGAAACUCAGAAAUAAGUGCAGAGCUGAUUACAAAUUCCAUUUGACUUUUUAAGAGCUAAAAGCAAAUUUGUGACAAAAAGCUUAAAUCCAUUAUCCUGUGAUUAAGAACCUAGCUGACACAGAAAACAGAAUGAGCGGUGUUCCUCCAGGACCAGGGUUGGGAACCACUGCUCUAAAAGACAAUCCUGGCCAAUUAUUUGUAAGGCAUGUGUUUGCAGUAUAUGAGCAGCUUAGGUAUGCCAUACUUUUGAAAAGCUGACAAUUUUAAGAAGAAUGUAGCAAUAUCUACAUUUUCUGGUUUUAUUUAUGUUUUUAGAGAAAUCUACAGAUGGUUGAUUUUUGUUGUAAGGAGAAUUACAUUUUCACCAUUAUUUAUAUGCACACGACCAUCACAAAGGACUUUUUUGAUUGUUUUAUUUGUGUAUAUUAUGUAGUAAUGCACUACUGGAACUAACUGGAUGUACUGUAACAGCCUACUGUGAUUACUGGUUAAUGGGACCUUCUUUGUUUUAAAUUUUCAUUUCAUCUCAUCAUUUUGUGCAUAAAAGCUGAUACUUGAUUAGUGCUGUUUGAACUGCACUUUUGUUAGAUGUGACUUUUAGAUUUUUAUGUGCAUUAUUUUAACCAGUAAUGUUGUUUGGUUUGUCCUUAUUUAUUCUGACAUGUUACUGUGACAUGCUUUUGAGCAUUGUCAUCCCACAGAGUGGACAUGAUGUCAAACUUCUGCAAUGUGAAAAGAAAUUCACGGGCCUUUAAUAACUUGCUCAUAUUUGGAUUACUGCGGUUUCAUUUCACUUCCUUUGCGGGGUGGUAUGGAAUGAAUAUUGACACGGUAAAUAAGGCACAAGCAGUAUUGUGCUGGAUUCUAAAAGGCAGGAGGUCCUACAAGAUGAGCCUAAAAAAAAACGUUUUUGUCUUUGUUUUUAAAUGUAACCAUUAACCUCAGUGUACGGGAUAUACUUCCAUGAUGGAAUUUAAACACUAGAUGACAGUAAAAUGAAACAAUUAAAAACUUUGCUUCAAUUAAAUGAUCUGAUGUGGUGUUUGUGACCUUCAACCAUAUGUUUACACGCAAUUAUUGGAAUACCUCCUUCCAGUAUCCCACCACAAAUAGGGUGUAGCAAACUCCAACCUCAAAGGCAGAUGACACUUAAUACAUAUAAUACAGUAUAAAUGUUUGCAAAUGAUUGUAGCAUUCAUGAUAGUAGGAGUAUAGUCGUUUUAGUCUGUUGCUCAUGGUAAUGCUGGUAGUUGUGUUUUUACCAUAUAUGUUGUACAAGCUGUAUUCUGUUUUGCAUUGAUUCAUCAAUCAUCUUUCACCAAUGAUAUUUUCAAUAAAGAAAAAAAGAGGCCAAAUAAAGUCUUUAAACCAGAGCCAUGGAAACGGAGUGCCUGGGACAAACACACACCCCUCUGUGCAACUGAAGUGUCUUUCCAAAGGUUUUAUUUAUGUAUUUCUUUCUUUUCUGUAUUUCUUCAUUCAAUUCAUUUCCUUACACUGCUAUUUGUUUUGCAUUGAAUAUUUUUACACUGAAAAGAUAAUGUCCUGUUUAUAAUUUCAUCCCACCAGCUAUACUCCAGAACUAACAGAGCUGUGCACAAGAACCCUCUCUGCUUGACCUCGG
This is a long non-coding RNA of Lepisosteus oculatus (spotted gar), 3131 nucleotides long. NCBI's taxonomy places the organism in Eukaryota, Metazoa, Chordata, Actinopteri, Semionotiformes, Lepisosteidae. The record is from Ensembl.